UACGAAGGGGGCUAGCGUUGCUCGGAAUGACUGGGCGUAAAGGGCGCGUAGGCGGUUUAGACAGUCAGAUGUGAAAUUCCCGGGCUUAACCUGGGGGCUGCAUUUGAUACGUCUAGGCUUGAGUGAGGAAGAGGGUUGUGGAAUUCCCAGUGUAGAGGUGAAAUUCGUAGAUAUUCGGAAGAACACCAGUGGCGAAGGCGGCUCACUGGUCCGGUACUGACGCUGAGGUGCGAAAGCGUGGGGAGCAAACAGG
RNAcentral lists this ribosomal RNA (253 nucleotides) under uncultured bacterium. RNAcentral's name for it is "partial 16S ribosomal RNA". It matches the Rfam family "Bacterial small subunit ribosomal RNA", at positions 524 to 776 of the family's 1533-position model. The record is from RNAcentral.